RNAcentral lists this ribosomal RNA (482 nucleotides) under uncultured bacterium. RNAcentral describes it as "partial 16S ribosomal RNA". It matches the Rfam family "Bacterial small subunit ribosomal RNA", at positions 28 to 523 of the family's 1533-position model. The record is from RNAcentral.
GACGAACGCUGGCGGCGUGCUUAACACAUGCAAGUCGAACGGAAAGGCCCAGCUUGCUGGGUACUCGAGUGGCGAACGGGUGAGUAACACGUGGGUGAUCUGCCCUGCACUCUGGGAUAAGCCUGGGAAACUGGGUCUAAUACCGGAUAUGAUCAACUGUCGCAUGGUGGUUGGUGGAAAGCUUUUGCGGUGUGGGAUGGGCCCGCGGCCUAUCAGCUUUUUGGUGGGGUAAUGGCCUACCAAGGCGACGCCGGGUAGCCGACCUGAGAGGGUGAUCGGCCACACUGGGACUGAGACACGGCCCAGGCUCCUACGGGGGGCAGCAGUGGGGAAUAUUGCACAAUGGGCGCAAGCCUGGUGCAGCGACGCCGCGUGAGGGAUGACGGCCUUCGGGUUGUAAACCUCUUUCACCAGGGACGAAGCGUGAGUGACGGUACCUGGAGAAGAAGCACCGGCCAACUACGUGCCAGCCGCCGCAGUAA